Brassica rapa (field mustard) is the source of this 89-nucleotide long non-coding RNA. RefSeq lists it as uncharacterized. The record is from RefSeq and is a predicted model, not a curated record. NCBI's taxonomy places the organism in Eukaryota, Viridiplantae, Streptophyta, Magnoliopsida, Brassicales, Brassicaceae.
CCUAACGGAAGUAACGAUGGUGAAGAGACGUCAACACCAUGACCAUGAGCUUUACCUUUUUUGGUCUUUGACGAGUUAUGGUUCAGUUU